Molecule: long non-coding RNA, 579 nt
Organism: Quercus lobata
Lineage: Eukaryota; Viridiplantae; Streptophyta; Magnoliopsida; Fagales; Fagaceae
Exons: 3
Source: RefSeq, a predicted model, not a curated record
CUCCUUUUGCUGCCCCAAAAGUCUUCUCCCUUACCUUAUUUUCUUGGCUGCAUCAGAUCAAAAAGUCCAGCCCCUCUUUCCCUGCUCUUUUCCUUGUUCUUUGUUUCUUUCUUCUCCCCUUCUUACACGGCAGCACUCCCUCUCUCACCAAAACAAAAUAUCCCUCUCUAAAGAAGAAAUUAAAGGGUUAACACUAAAAUUUCAGCUUCAAAUUGUUGGGGGUGGCGAGAACGAUAACACGGACACUUGAGCUCCUCUUGUACAAUCUCUCGCGCCUUCUGUUUUCAGUGCACAGGUUUUCUUGGAAGCAGCGAGAGUAUUAGAGGUGCCUGAUUCUGUGUUUUCUUGUUUGUUAGAAUGUAGAGUUUUGUCUUAUAGCAGUUAGCUUUUUUGUUAUAUAAGAGGAAUCAAGAUGUACUUGAUCCUUUGAAUACAGAUGUAAUUCGGUACCUUAGGUUUGUAAUAAGAGUUUUGCUAAACAUUUAGUUAUGUAAUAUUUACACGAAUACCUUAAGUUUCAGCCAGGUGGUAUUUUUCCAAGUUCGAAGGAAAUGAAAUUUCAAGGUUGCCAUCAUUUUU